CGACGCCGCGUGAGGGAUGACGGCCUUCGGGUUGUAAACCUCUUUCAGUAGGGAAGAAGCGAAAGUGACGGUACCUGCAGAAGAAGCGCCGGCUAACUACGUGCCAGCAGCCGCGGUAAUACGUAGGGCGCAAGCGUUAUCCGGAAUUAUUGGGCGUAAAGAGCUCGUAGGCGGUUUGUCGCGUCUGCCGUGAAAGUCCGGGGCUCAACUCCGGAUCUGCGGUGGGUACGGGCAGACUAGAGUGAUGUAGGGGAGACUGGAAUUCCUGGUGUAGCGGUGAAAUGCGCAGAUAUCAGGAGGAACACCGAUGGCGAAGGCAGGUCUCUGGGCAUUAACUGACGCUGAGGAGCGAAAGCAUGGGGAGCGAACAGGAUUAGAUACCCUGGUAGUCCAUGCCGUAAACGUUGGGCACUAGGUGUGGGGGACAUUCCACGUUUUCCGCGCCGUAGCUAACGCAUUAAGUGCCCCGCCUGGG
This 475-nucleotide ribosomal RNA is filed under the name Arthrobacter globiformis. Its description in RNAcentral is "bacterial SSU rRNA". It matches the Rfam family "Bacterial small subunit ribosomal RNA", at positions 392 to 877 of the family's 1533-position model. The record is from RNAcentral. Lineage: Bacteria; Bacillati; Actinomycetota; Actinomycetes; Micrococcales; Micrococcaceae.